AUGUCUCCUUUAUUAUGAUGGUUCGUUUGUUUUAUUCUGACUCCUCAUAGUUUUCUUCUUGAUGGUUUAAAGCCAGGAGAAGAAAGAUAGGCUUCCUUGCAAAGCUGGGUAAUUUUCAGUUUACAUUUCUCUGUCACUUUGCCAUCAAGAAAUGCACCUUCCUUUGGCACAGUACUCUAUAGAAUUGUUGGUUACGUGCUAAUACUAAAUGUUGAAUUUGGUUUUCACAGAUAAAACCAUCCUGUAAUAUGGAAAUAAUUCAGAACUGCUGAAUUUAAGUGAACACUUCUAAGAAUUUCCAAAACCUUUUGCUUAAGUUUCACUGUGAAAAAUACUGUCAAACUUUUGUCUUAAAGGACAACUCUCCUCCUUUUUAAAUAACUACUUCAGUAUCACAUGGUGGUCCAUGUGGUUUUUGUGGUCAUUAAGCAAUAGAACAAUUACAUUUCACUUGGAAAAAUGUUUUCUGAGGUAAAUUUAGAUUCAGUAUAUGUUUUCCUAUUUCUUUUCUUCCUUUUUACAGCUCUUACAAUUGCUUUUCCUUUAUUUAAGCUACUUGAAAUUUUGUGGUAAACCACAUUUUGGGAUCAGAAUUUCUUUGAUGACUUUCUUAUUUGUAGGAUAACAUCACUAUAAAUUAAAAAAAAACCCAAAAUAAUUGUAUGCAUAUUCCUAAAACCAGCCUGUGAAAAUUUAUUCUAAGUGUAAACCAUUCAUAGAUACUCAGAAAUUACAUAUAAACUUUGUUUCUUGUUGGAAAAGUUUUGAAGAAUAGAAGCAUGAUCUUUGUGAAGCAGCAACAGGAUUCCUUUAAUAUAUCAACACAUCACAUGAUAUCAAGUUACUUUUAUCAGAUUUUCUUCUGUUUCAAAGUUGCUAGAAACUGAAAAACUAGACAGCCAGCUGGCAGGAGGAAGACAUGAUCACCAGCAGACAGAAAUAAAUGUGGCUAUGACAACAGAAACAGGAAGUUAAAAGAUAAUUUAAAUCUACUCAAAGCAACUUGAGAAGUUGAUGGGAAAGAUCUUUACAGUGAGAGGUGUUACUUCUGCAAAAACUGUUAGUAAUAAAUCACCUGAUCAAUGUCUUAUUCUUCUCUCCUUUUGAAUCCCAUUUGCUUAUCUUAUUAUCUGGAUGUAUUAUUGGUCAUUUAAUUUUUAGACUUGAUUUGAUAAUAAUAUAAAAUUAAGAAAAGCC
Molecule: long non-coding RNA, 1197 nt
Filed under: Bos taurus (domestic cattle)
Lineage: Eukaryota; Metazoa; Chordata; Mammalia; Artiodactyla; Bovidae
Description: long non-coding RNA NONBTAT006793
Source: RNAcentral